GACGAACGCUGGCGGCGUGCCUAAUACAUGCAAGUUGAGCGCUGAAGGUUGGUACUUGUACCAACUGGAUGAGCAGCGAACGGGUGAGUAACGCGUGGGGAAUCUGCCUUUGAGCGGGGGACAACAUUUGGAAACGAAUGCUAAUACCGCAUAAAAACUUUAAACACAAGUUUUAAGUUUGAAAGAUGCAAUUGCAUCACUCAAAGAUGAUCCCGCGUUGUAUUAGCUAGUUGGUGAGGUAAAGGCUCACCAAGGCGAUGAUACAUAGCCGACCUGAGAGGGUGAUCGGCCACAUUGGGACUGAGACACGGCCCAAACUCCUACGGGAGGCAGCAGCAGGGAAUCUUCGGCAAUGGACGAAAGUCUGACCGAGCAACGCCGCGUGAGUGAAGAAGGUUUUCGGAUCGUAAAACUCUGUUGGUAGAGAAGAACGUUGGUGAGAGUGGAAAGCUCAUCAAGUGACGGUAACUACACAGAAAGGGACGGCUAACUACGUG
This 497-nucleotide ribosomal RNA is filed under the name uncultured bacterium. RNAcentral describes it as "partial 16S ribosomal RNA". It matches the Rfam family "Bacterial small subunit ribosomal RNA", at positions 28 to 507 of the family's 1533-position model. The record is from RNAcentral.